CGCCCAGACUCCUACGGGAGGCAGCAGUGGGGAAUAUUGCACAAUGGGGGAAACCCUGAUGCAGCGACGCCGCGUGAGCGAUGAAGUAUUUCGGUAUGUAAAGCUCUAUCAGCAGGGAAGAAGAUGACGGUACCUGACUAAGAAGCCCCGGCUAACUACGUGCCAGCAGCCGCGGUAAUACGUAGGGGGCAAGCGUUAUCCGGAUUUACUGGGUGUAAAGGGAGCGUAGACGGCGAUGCAAGCCAGAUGUGAAAGCCCGGGGCUCAACCCCGGGACUGCAUUUGGAACUGUGUGGCUGGAGUGUCGGAGAGGCAGGCGGAAUUCCUAGUGUAGCGGUGAAAUGCGUAGAUAUUAGGAGGAACACCAGUGGCGAAGGCGGCCUGCUGGACGAUGACUGACGUUGAGGCUCGAAAGCGUGGGGAGCAAACAGGAUUAGAUACCCGGGUA
RNAcentral lists this ribosomal RNA (447 nucleotides) under uncultured bacterium. RNAcentral describes it as "bacterial SSU rRNA". It matches the Rfam family "Bacterial small subunit ribosomal RNA", at positions 328 to 792 of the family's 1533-position model. The record is from RNAcentral.